UGCGAUGAGUCGAGAAAUCACACAGCAUUUAUGCUGUCGCGCAAGCGAUUAAUGUGAAUUCGAGCGGGACACAAUUUAAGGCACAGAUUUGCUGGUGUUUGACUUUAGCGGAUUGUGGAAUCC
The sequence is a small RNA, 123 nucleotides long. It matches the Rfam family "Enterococcus sRNA 68 (Lacto-3 RNA)". Rfam says of the family: Name 'Ref' stands for RNA in E. faecalis. Also known as Lacto-3 RNA. Lactobacillales (Firmicutes). The record is from Rfam.